Molecule: ribosomal RNA, 439 nt
Filed under: uncultured bacterium
Lineage: Bacteria
Description: partial 16S ribosomal RNA
Rfam family: Bacterial small subunit ribosomal RNA
Source: RNAcentral
CCUCGGGCGGCAGCAGUGGGGAAUAUUGCACAAUGGGGGAAACCCUGAUGCAGCAACGCCGCGUGAGUGAAGAAGUAUUUCGGUAUGUAAAGCUCUAUCAGCAGGGGGGAAGAUGACGGUACCUGAGUAAGAAGCCCCGGCUAACUACGUGCCAGCAGCCGCGGUAAUACGGAGGGGGCCAGCGUUAUCCGGAUUUACUGGGUGUAAAGGGAGCGUAGACGGGGAGACAAGUCUGAUGUGAAAGCCCGGGGCUCAACCCCGGGACUGCUUUGGAAAAUGCCUGCCUGGAGUGCGGGAGAGGCAGGCGGAAUUCGUAGUGUAGCGGUGAAAUGCGUAGAUAUUAGGAAGAACACCGGUGGCGAAGGCAGCUUGCUGGACAGUAACUGACGUUGAGGCUCGAAAGCGUGGGGAGCAAACAGGAUUAGAUACCCCAGUAGUC